CAAGGCUGCGGACUUUGCAAUCUAAGGAGGUGAAUAAAGACAGAGAAAAUCUAGGCAUGAACUCAUGGACAAGACAGUGAACAGCCUAUCUCGUAAUCAGAUAGCUGAAACAUUCUCAAUUGCCUGUGCUGGUUGAUUGUUGGCCCCAAUUGCUGCAGCUUUCCAACCACUAUAAUUGCCGCUUGGAUCACUCAUGUAUAGUUG
RNAcentral lists this unclassified non-coding RNA (204 nucleotides) under Hevea brasiliensis (rubber tree). The record is from RNAcentral. Lineage: Eukaryota; Viridiplantae; Streptophyta; Magnoliopsida; Malpighiales; Euphorbiaceae.